This 1068-nucleotide long non-coding RNA is filed under the name Dasypus novemcinctus (nine-banded armadillo). Its description in RNAcentral is "lncRNA (ENSDNOG00000051391.1)". Lineage: Eukaryota; Metazoa; Chordata; Mammalia; Cingulata; Dasypodidae. The record is from RNAcentral.
GGGUGCUUGGGGCGCUCAGCCAUCUUGACUGAGUACAUGUCGAGGGGCGUCCUCGCCCUGCGCCUCGCUGAGGGACCCGAGCGCCGAUGUCCCCGUCGACCCGUGACUCCCCACAAAUCCCACAGCCGAGGCCUAACAAGUUUCAACUGUCACUGAGGACAGCGGCCACUUCGAAGAGCAGAGCACCGGCGAGCGUGAUACGCCCGCUUCCCCACGCACCCUUCGAGUCCUCCAAGAGGGGGCAGGUCGGGCUCGGUGACAGCUGAAAACUUUAUUUCUUAUUUUUUUUUUUCCUGACCUGGAGCGUGCCUUCGGCCUGGGGGCAGGGUUUGCGCAAGACGAAGGCCCGCUCUCGCCCGGCUGAAUGCAGACAUCGAGCGGCACAUGGUGGAUUGGCUGCUCUGAGAAUUGCCUAAAAAAAAAAAAAAAAAAAAACUAAAGUGAAAAAAUAGACAAAGCCAUCUCUAACCUUCGUCGUCUUUCCUAUUUGUUUUGACCGCUCUCGCCGCGCCCCCGAGCCGGCGGCGGGGCUAGCGAAAAGAUGCACCUGAAGCGGGGUCUGCGGGCAGCUGCAUUCGCCAGGCGCCUCGCUCGCCGCCUUGCAGCGGCGGAGGCGCAGCGGCAGUGGCGGCGAGGCCGCGCGAGGCUCCCCGGCGGCGGCGGCGGCGGCGGCACCGGCACCAGCGCAGUUUCCCCUCUCCCCAGCCCUGACUCUACGCGCACAUGCGCACUGCGCCCGCAGCCCUGGACCAUUUGUCAGGACUACUCGUGAGACGGAGAAAAAAAAAAGCGAAAAUUUGGGGCUCGGCCCACAGCGCGACCGUGAGAGAAAGUUUGAAAGCGGCCGGUUUCCUCCCCGCCGGCCCCGAGAAGGGGAAGGGGUGUCAGUCGGUCCGUUUGCUCUUCGAAGGAGGUGGGGGUAACGAGCUGUGUUCCGGGGUCGCGAAGACGGUGGCACUUACCCCACCCUUCCCCGGGGAGAAGGAGCGAUCUCGGCCCUUCCCUCUCCUUGCAUCCCUUGGCCGGCGCCUUGACCACCGCGGGACCAGCGCCAGAGGAAGGCAUUAA